AAAUUACUGGGCGUAAAGCGUGCGCAGGCGGUUCGCUAAGACAGAUGUGAAAUCCCCGGGCUUAACCUGGGAACUGCAUUUGUGACUGGCGGGCUAGAGUAUGGCAGAGGGGGGUAGAAUUCCACGUGUAGCAGUGAAAUGCGUAGAGAUGUGGAGGAAUACCGAUGGCGAAGGCAGCCCCCUGGGCCAAUACUGACGCUCAUGCACGAAAGCGUGGGGAGCAAACAGGAUUAGAUACCCUGGUAGUCCACGCCCUAAACGAUGUCAACUAGUUGUCGGGCCUUCAUUGGCUUGGUAACGUAGCUAACGCGUGAAGUUGACCGCCUGGGGAGUACGGUCGCAAGAUUAAAACUCAAAGGAAUUGACGGGGACCCGCACAAGCGGUGGAUGAUGUGGAUUAAUUCGAUGCAACGCGAAAAACCUUACCUACCCUUGACAUGUACGGAAUCCUGCUGAGAGGUGGGAGUGCCCGAAAGGGAGCCGUAACACAGGUGCUGCAUG
RNAcentral lists this ribosomal RNA (501 nucleotides) under Burkholderia sp. RNAcentral's name for it is "bacterial SSU rRNA". It matches the Rfam family "Bacterial small subunit ribosomal RNA", at positions 548 to 1047 of the family's 1533-position model. The record is from RNAcentral. Lineage: Bacteria; Pseudomonadati; Pseudomonadota; Betaproteobacteria; Burkholderiales; Burkholderiaceae.